GUCUUACGCAUCAGCAGUGAACACGUCCUUGGCGUCUCACCUCCUACCUCCUGAGGCAUAGCAACAAACACCAUGACACAGCAACAAACACCAUGGCACAUCAUUUUCCAGUUUUUCUCAAUAGUGAGCACUCAAUUGUUUUUGAGAGCAGGUUUUUCGUGGAAGGCCUCCGAAACAUCUACCUGGAGCUCUCUGUGUAGUUGUAUGGAUACCUCCCCAGGUGUGCCUCUCUGGGAGGACAGGUCUGCCUUGAGCUAUAAACAUGGCAUUUGUCGGCCAGGCGCAGUGGCUCAAGCCUGUAAUCCCAGCACUUUGGGAGGCCGAGGUGGGUGGAUCACAAGGUCAGCAGUUCGAGACCAGCCUGACCAACAUGGUGAAACCCCGUCUCUACUAAAAAUACAAAAAAAUUAGCUGGGCGUGGUGGCGGGCACCUGUAGUCCCAGCUACUCGGGAGGCUGAGGCAGGAAGAAUGGCGUGAACCCCGGAGGUGGAGCUUGUAGUGAGCUGAGAUUGCACCACUGCACUCCAGCCUGGGCAACAGAGCGAGACUCCGUCUCAGAAAAAACACAACACAACAAAACAAAA
This 585-nucleotide long non-coding RNA is filed under the name Pan troglodytes (chimpanzee). RNAcentral describes it as "lincRNA". The record is from RNAcentral. Lineage: Eukaryota; Metazoa; Chordata; Mammalia; Primates; Hominidae.